AAGUCGUAACAAGGUCUCCGUAGGUGAACCUGCGGAGGGAUCAUUCACAUGAUCAUAAUCUUAAACAAUUCUGUGAACUUUUUUUUUAAAACCCAUCUUUUUUUCUUGUUAAUUCUUUGUUAAAAAGAAAAAAUUACAUUCGAUCGUACAUUAGAUAGCUGGUUUUUACUUUUAAUCGAGUAAUUUCUACAGCUGAUUGAAAUAUAUCUAAACAAUAUAUUUGAAUCAAGACAAACAAACAUAGAAUUUAACAACUCUAUGCCCUGGAUAUCUUGGUUCUC
RNAcentral lists this unclassified non-coding RNA (281 nucleotides) under fungal sp. RNAcentral's name for it is "partial internal transcribed spacer region". The stretch from base 1 to 46 matches the Rfam family "Eukaryotic small subunit ribosomal RNA", at positions 1786 to 1831 of the family's 1831-position model. Lineage: Eukaryota; Fungi. The record is from RNAcentral.